Non-coding RNA from Jatropha curcas, 1448 nucleotides. The record is from RefSeq and is a predicted model, not a curated record. Lineage: Eukaryota; Viridiplantae; Streptophyta; Magnoliopsida; Malpighiales; Euphorbiaceae.
AAGAACGCACGGAUCAACUUAAGCUUGUAAAGUAAACGUGAAAUACAACUCUCUUCGCUGAUAUCAUAGAGGCUGUCACACAAUCUGACCGGAGCAAUUGUGUGAUGGGGGAAAAGGGUAGUUUUGUGGUGCCUGAGUUGGCCGUUGAGGAUGAAGAAGAGGGUUUUGGGAGGAAGUAUGCGACGGAAGGGAAAAAGAGAAAGAAGGUUAGUGGGAAGGAGAGGAAGAAGGUUAGCAAGGGAGAGAAGAAGUAUGGAAUUAGUGGGGGGGAGGAGGGAAGUCAUUCAAAAUCAGGAUUGAUGAAGAAGGGAAUGUAUUCAGAGAAGCUGGCCGGAAAGGAAGAUGGUGAGGUCAAGGGGAUGUGGGAUACUAUUGCUGGCGGUGAUUCUGAGGAUGAUCAAGAGGGUCUCAGGAAUGUAGAUGAUGACAACUUCAUAGAUGACAGUGCUUUAGAUCCUGCUGAUCGAUAUGUGAGUGACAAUGAACCACGCUGUCCUGGUGAUGCUCCUCAGUUGUUACAAGUGUCUUCUGUUGCUGCAUUCCUUCUCGAUAACAUUCUAUCUUAUGCCCUAAUUCUGGUUCUUGCCCCCACCACUACCUCUCUCCUGCUGAAGACGGUUGAGGGGAAGAUGAUUGAAAUAGAGAAACAAGCUUUUUCAAAAUUGGAGUAUCACACUAAAUCCCUAAUCUUCUCACUUCCUUUACUGAGGUUACAUCUCGAAAGAAGUAAUGAAGAGGAUGCAGAAUUAAAUAGACGGGGAAAACCUGCCAUCAAUAAACUUAAAAAGUCACCACUUCUUACUGAGGUUCUCUCAAAGAAGCAGCUCCAGCAGGAAUUCAUAGAUCAUGGGGUACUAACUCUUUUAAAAAUUUGGCUUGAACCCCUUCCAGAUGGAAGUUUGCCUAAUAUAAAUAUACGUGCAGCAAUUUUGACGAUUUUGACUGACUCCAAUAUGUCUUUGUAUAGGCUGAUUAUGUUCUUAUCAAAAUCUGACGAGGGAAAAACCAGAUCCAACAGGAAAACUUGCUAAGGAUUUUGGUUGAUAAAUGGAGUCGACCCAUAUUUGAUAAGAGUACGAGGUUUGAAGAUAUGAGAAACAUUAAUGAUGAUCGGGCCUUCCGAAGGCCAACAAUAAGGAGGCCAGUGAAUAAUUCUACAUUGAUGGAAUGUACAGAUGGUGAUCUGGAUUUGGAUAUUUCAAGGAAACGAAGAUCUGGCCAAUCAUCUUUAAGGCAACGUGCUUCUAGGCCACAAGCAACUCCACUGGACUUUGUAGUGCGCCCUCAGUCUAAGAUUGACCCUGAAGAAAUUAGAGCCCGUGCUAAACAAGUACUCCGGACACAGGAAAGGAAAAGGAAGUUAAAGAGGAAAUUGUGUAUUACCUGAAUAUUAUAUUAUUAUAGAUUAUAAUUACGUGACAGAAAUUUGAUUUUAUUAAUGAUAGGAC